GAGUCUUAAUUGGGCGUUAAGUUGCAGGGUAUAGACCCGAAACCCGGUGAUCUAGCCAUGGGCAGGUUGAAGGUUGGGUAACACUAACUGGAGGACCGAACCGACUAAUGUUGAAAAAUUAGCGGAUGACCUGUGGCUGGGGGUGAAAGGCCAAUCAAACCGGGAGAUAGCUGGUUCUCCCCGAAAGCUAUUUAGGUAGCGCCUCGUGAAUUCAUCUCCGGGGGUAGAGCACUGUUUCGGCUAGGGGGCCAUCCCGGCUUACCAACCCGAUGCAAACUGCGAAUACCGGAGAAUGUUAUCACGGGAGACACACGGCGGGUGCUAACGUCCGUCGUGAAGAGGGAAACAACCCAGACCGCCAGCUAAGGUCCCAAAGUCAUGGUUAAGUGGGAAACGAUGUGGGAAGGCCCAGACAGCCAGGAUGUUGGCUUAGAAGCAGCCAUCAUUUAAAGAAAGCGUAAUAGCUCACUGGUCGAGUCGGCCUGCGCGGAAGAUGUAACGGGGCUAAACCAUGCACCGAAGCUGCGGCAGCGACACUGUGUGUUGUUGGGUAGGGGAGCGUUCUGUAAGCCUGCGAAGGUGGCCUGUGAGGGUUGCUGGAGGUAUCAGAAGUGCGAAUGCUGACAUAAGUAACGAUAAAGCGGGUGAAAAGCCCGCUCGCCGGAAGACCAAGGGUUCCUGUCCAACGUUAAUCGGGGCAGGGUGAGUCGACCCCUAAGGCGAGGCCGAAAGGCGUAGUCGAUGGGAAACGGGUUAAUAUUCCCGUACUUGGUGUUACUGCGAAGGGGGGACGGAGAAGGCUAUGUUGGCCGGGCGACGGUU
RNAcentral lists this ribosomal RNA (822 nucleotides) under Salmonella enterica subsp. enterica serovar Enteritidis. RNAcentral describes it as "partial 23S ribosomal RNA". It matches the Rfam family "Bacterial large subunit ribosomal RNA", at positions 679 to 1503 of the family's 2925-position model. Lineage: Bacteria; Pseudomonadati; Pseudomonadota; Gammaproteobacteria; Enterobacterales; Enterobacteriaceae. The record is from RNAcentral.